Molecule: ribosomal RNA, 250 nt
Filed under: uncultured bacterium
Lineage: Bacteria
Description: partial 16S ribosomal RNA
Rfam family: Bacterial small subunit ribosomal RNA
Source: RNAcentral
CCGCGGUAAUACGAAGGGGGCUAGCGUUGUUCGGAAUUACUGGGCGUAAAGCGCACGUAGGCGGAUUUGUAAGUUGGGGGUGAAAUCCCGGGGCUCAACCCCGGAAUUGCCUUCAAGACUGCAAGUCUGGAGGUCAGGAGAGGCGAGCGGAAUUCCGAGUGUAGAGGUGAAAUUCGUAGAUAUUCGGAGGAACACCAGUGGCGAAGGCGGCUCGCUGGACUGAUACUGACGCUGAGGUGCGAAAGCGUGG